RNAcentral lists this ribosomal RNA (756 nucleotides) under uncultured bacterium. RNAcentral's name for it is "bacterial SSU rRNA". It matches the Rfam family "Bacterial small subunit ribosomal RNA", at positions 28 to 776 of the family's 1533-position model. The record is from RNAcentral.
AUUGAACGCUGGCGGCAGUCUUAACACAUGCAAGUCGAACGGUAACGGGUUGAAAGCUUGCUUUCAAUGCUGACGAGUGGCGGACGGGUGAGUAAGGCUUGGGGAUCUGGCUUUUGGAGGGGGAUAACCAUUGGAAACGAUGGCUAAUACCGCAUAGUAUCGAGAGAUGAAAGGGGUGGGAAACCACUUGCCAAGGGAUGAACCCAAGUGAGAUUAGGUAGUUGGUGGGGUAAAGGCCUACCAAGCCGACGAUCUCUAGCUGGUCUGAGAGGAUGGCCAGCCACACUGGGACUGAGACACGGCCCAGACUCCUACGGGAGACAGCAGUGGGGAAUAUUGCGCAAUGGGGGGAACCCUGACGCAGCCAUGCCGCGUGAAUGAAGAAGGCCUUCGGGUUGUAAAGUUCUUUCGGUGGUGAGGAAGGUGGUAGUGUUAAUAGCGCUAUUGUUUGACGUUAGCCACAGAAGAAGCACCGGCUAACUCCGUGCCAGCAGCCGCGGUAAUACGGAGGGUGCGAGCGUCAAUCGGAAUAACUGGGCGUAAAGGGCACGCAGGCGGGACGUUAAGUGAGAUGUGAAAGCCCCGGGCUUAACCUGGGAACAGCAUUUCAUACUGGCGUACUAGAGUACUUUAGGGAGGGGUAGAAUUCCACGUGUAGCGGUGAAAUGCGUAGAGAUGUGGAGGAAUACCGAAGGCGAAGGCAGCCCCUUGGGAAGAUACUGACGCUCAUGUGCGAAAGCGUGGGGAGCAAACAGG